GACGAACGCUGGCGGCGUGCUUAACACAUGCAAGUCGAACGGAAAGGCCCUGCUUUUGUGGGGUGCUCGAGUGGCGAACGGGUGAGUAACACGUGAGUAACCUGCCCUUGACUUUGGGAUAACUUCAGGAAACUGGGGCUAAUACCGGAUAGGAGCUCCUGCUGCAUGGUGGGGGUUGGAAAGUUUCGGCGGUUGGGGAUGGACUCGCGGCUUAUCAGCUUGUUGGGGGGGUAGUGGCUUACCAAGGCUUUGACGGGUAGCCGGCCUGAGAGGGUGACCGGCCACAGGGGCACAGGGGAGCGACCAAGGCUCAUGGGGGGGCAAGGAGGGGGAAAUUGUGCAAAAGGGGCGGAGGCCUGAAGCAACACCGCCGGGGGGGGAAGGACGGCCUGGGGGGUGUAACGGGAUUUCGCUGGUAACGAGGGGUGGGGGCGGGAACGGGAGAAAGAACCACGGGCAAAUUACGG
RNAcentral lists this ribosomal RNA (467 nucleotides) under uncultured bacterium. Its description in RNAcentral is "partial 16S ribosomal RNA". The stretch from base 13 to 373 matches the Rfam family "Bacterial small subunit ribosomal RNA", at positions 40 to 399 of the family's 1533-position model. The record is from RNAcentral.